GAUAACACUUGGAAACAGGUGCUAAUACCGUAUAACAAUCGAAACCGCAUGGUUUUGAUUUGAAAGGCGCUUUCGGGUGUCACUGAUGGAUGGACCCGCGGUGCAUUAGCUAGUUGGUGAGGUAACGGCUCACCAAGGCCACGAUGCAUAGCCGACCUGAGAGGGUGAUCGGCCACAUUGGGACUGAGACACGGCCCAAACUCCUACGGGAGGCAGCAGUAGGGAAUCUUCGGCAAUGGACGAAAGUCUGACCGAGCAACGCCGCGUGAGUGAAGAAGGUUUUCUGAUCGUAAAACUCUGUUGUUAGAGAAGAACAAUGAUGAGAGUAACUGUUCAUCCCUUGACGGUAUCUAACCAGAAAGCCACGGCUAACUACGUGCCAGCAGCCGCGGUAAUACGUAAGUGGCAAGCGUUGUCCGGAUUUAUUGGGCGUAAAGCGAGCGCAGGCGGUUUCUUAAGUCUGAUGUGAAAGCCCCCGGCUCAACCGGGGAGGGUCAUUGGAAACUGGAAGACUUGAGUGCAGAAGAGGAGAGUGGAAUUCCAUGUGUAGCGGCGAAAUGCGUAGAUAUAUGGAGGAACACCAGUGGCGAAGGCGGCUCUCUGGUCUGUAACUGACGCUGAAGCUCAAAAGCGUGGGGAGCAAACAGGAUUACAUACCCUGGUAGUCCACGCCGUAUACUAUGAGUGCUAAGUGUUGGAGGGUUUCC
This 707-nucleotide ribosomal RNA is filed under the name uncultured bacterium. RNAcentral's name for it is "bacterial SSU rRNA". It matches the Rfam family "Bacterial small subunit ribosomal RNA", at positions 142 to 835 of the family's 1533-position model. The record is from RNAcentral.